This is a long non-coding RNA of Octodon degus (degu), 325 nucleotides long. RefSeq lists it as uncharacterized. The transcript is spliced from 3 exons. The record is from RefSeq and is a predicted model, not a curated record. Lineage: Eukaryota; Metazoa; Chordata; Mammalia; Rodentia; Octodontidae.
GGGGCGGCCGAGCGCGGCUUACUCCCCAGCGGGGUCAGCAGGGCCCGGCCCGGCCCGCGCCGCGCCGCGCAGGGCUGCUGGGGAAGUUGAGGCUCCCGGCCGCGGGCGGGGGUGGCGUGCUUCGGCUUCCAGGAAUAACUCAAGUCACCUUUAUUGGAAAUAAAUUUGCUGAAAUUAUUGAAACAGCGUUUCUUGAAUUUGAAGAAAAAGGAGGUUCCCUGCCCUGACUAGAGGAGUGUGGCCCUUUCUCCAAGCCCCCUCUGGAUACACCCUCAAAGCCUCCACCAGGAAAGAUGCGGCAGCUCAAAGGGAAGCCCAAGAAGGA